GGUUAAGCGACUAAGCGUACACGGUGGAUGCCCUGGCAGUCAGAGGCGAUGAAGGACGUGCUAAUCUGCGAUAAGCGUCGGUAAGGUGAUAUGAACCGUUAUAACCGGCGAUUUCCGAAUGGGGAAACCCAGUGUGUUUCGACACACUAUCAUUAACUGAAUCCAUAGGUUAAUGAGGCGAACCGGGGGAACUGAAACAUCUAAGUACCCCGAGGAAAAGAAAUCAACCGAGAUUCCCCCAGUAGCGGCGAGCGAACGGGGAGCAGCCCAGAGCCUGAAUCAGUGUGUGUGUUAGUGGAAGCGUCUGGAAAGGCGCGCGAUACAGGGUGACAGCCCCGUACACAAAAAUGCACAUAUUGUGAGCUCGAUGAGUAGGGCGGGACACGUGGUA
RNAcentral lists this ribosomal RNA (391 nucleotides) under Escherichia coli. RNAcentral's name for it is "partial 23S ribosomal RNA". It matches the Rfam family "Bacterial large subunit ribosomal RNA", at positions 1 to 431 of the family's 2925-position model. Lineage: Bacteria; Pseudomonadati; Pseudomonadota; Gammaproteobacteria; Enterobacterales; Enterobacteriaceae. The record is from RNAcentral.